RNAcentral lists this ribosomal RNA (324 nucleotides) under Triticum aestivum (bread wheat). RNAcentral describes it as "partial small subunit ribosomal RNA". Lineage: Eukaryota; Viridiplantae; Streptophyta; Magnoliopsida; Poales; Poaceae. The record is from RNAcentral.
AUGCUCUGUUACUCUCACAGAAUUAAAUUUCAUGUUGGAAUCAUACAGCUAUAUAGUACUACCUCCGUUCCUAAAUAUAGUACUUUCUCAUGUUUCCUGUUGGAAUCAUACAGCUAUAUAGUUCAAUUUGAACAGCAGAAAUGUCUUAUAUUGAGGAACAGAGAGUGUAUUAUUGAAGGAGGCAACAAAACAAAAUCACAUGGGCAUAUCAACAAUUCUUUGAUGCCCAUGGUAACUAUGAUAGCUAAGCAAAGCCCAAGAGAUAACCGUAACUGCAGUACAGUUCAGCGCAACUUAAAGUUUGAACCAAGAAUAAGUUUCUGA